GGGGAAUCUUGCACAAUGGGGGCAACCCUGAUGCAGCGACGCCGCGUGAGCGAUGAAGCCCUUCGGGGCGUAAAGCUCUUUCGACCGGAACGAUAAUGACGGUACCGGGAGAAGAAGCUGCGGCUAACUACGUGCCAGCAGCCGCGGUAAUACGUAGGCAGCAAGCGUUGUUCGGCGUUACUGGGCGUAAAGAGUGCGUAGGCGGUUUUCUAAGUUCGGUGUGAAAUCUCCCGGCUUAACUGGGAGGGUGCGCCGAAGACUGGGAAGGUGGAGUGUGGGAAAGGCAGGCGGAAUUCCUGGUGUAGCAGUGAAAUGCGUAGAUAUCAGGAGGAACACCGGCGGUGUAGACGGCUUGCUAGACCAUAACUGACGCUGAGGCACGAAAGCGUGGGUAGC
This 396-nucleotide ribosomal RNA is filed under the name uncultured bacterium. RNAcentral describes it as "bacterial SSU rRNA". It matches the Rfam family "Bacterial small subunit ribosomal RNA", at positions 356 to 769 of the family's 1533-position model. The record is from RNAcentral.